CAACUCAUCACCUUCCUCCCCACUAUUCACAAACUCAUAAAAAAGCGUUAUCCGAUUAUCGUACUAUAAAAAGAAAGCCGCGGAGCGGCAGGGAUUCAAAGCCACACACGGCCAGUCCCGAAAUACAAACAAGGCCAUUCAAGGCCGAAACAUAAAAACAAAAAAAAAAUCUCGCAAGAGAUCUAACCUAAGUCACCCU
RNAcentral lists this long non-coding RNA (199 nucleotides) under Brassica napus (rape). RNAcentral describes it as "long non-coding RNA (BNAP_LNC006731)". The record is from RNAcentral. Lineage: Eukaryota; Viridiplantae; Streptophyta; Magnoliopsida; Brassicales; Brassicaceae.